RNAcentral lists this ribosomal RNA (1320 nucleotides) under uncultured bacterium. Its description in RNAcentral is "partial 16S ribosomal RNA". It matches the Rfam family "Bacterial small subunit ribosomal RNA". The record is from RNAcentral.
AGAGUUUGAUCAGGGCUCAGGACGAACGCUGGCGGCGUGCUUAACACAUGCAAGUCGGACGAUGAAGCCCUUCGGGGUGGAUUAGUGGCGAACGGGUGAGUAACACGUGAGCAACCUGCCCUUGACUCUGGGAUAAGCCUGGGAAACUGGGUCUAAUACCGGAUACUACUUCCUGCCGCAUGGUGGGGGGUGGAAAGCCUUGUGCGGUCUUGGAUGGGCCCGCGGGCCAUUAGCUUGUUGGUGGGGUAACGGCCUACCAAGGCUUCGAUGGCUAGCUGGUCUGAGAGGACGAUCAGCCACACUGGGACUGAGACACGGCCCAGACUCCUACGGGAGGCAGCAGUGGGGAAUCUUGCGCAAUGCGCGAAAGCGUGACGCAGCAACGCCGCGUGUGGGAAGACGGCCUUCGGGUUGUAAACCACUUUCGGCAGGGAACAAGCCUUUCGGGGUGACGGUACCUUCAGAAGAAGCCCCGGCUAACUACGUGCCAGCAGCCGCGGUAAUACGUAGGGGGCUAGCGUUGUCCGGAAUCAUUGGGCGUAAAGCGCGUGUAGGCGGCUCGGUAAGUCUGUUGUGAAAGCCCAGGGCUCAACCCCGGGUGUGAAAUGCGCAGAUAUCAGGAGGAACACCGAUGGCGAAGGCAGGUCUCUGGGCUGUAACUGACGCUGAGGAGCGAAAGCAUGGGGAGCGAACAGGAUUAGAUACCCUGGUAGUCCAUGCCGUAAACGUUGGGCACUAGGUGUGGGGGCCAUUCCACGGUUUCCGCGCCGCAGCUAACGCAUUAAGUGCCCCGCCUGGGGGAGUACGGCCGCAAGGCUAAAACUCAAAGGAAUUGACGGGGGCCCGCACAAGCGGCGGAGCAUGCGGAUUAAUUCGAUGCAACGCGAAGAACCUUACCAAGGCUUGACAUGUGCCGGACCGUCCCAGAGAUGGGGCUUCCCUUCGGGGCCGGUUCACAGGKGGUGCAUGGUUGUCGUCAGCUCGUGUCGUGAGAUGUUGGGUUAAGUCCCGCAACGAGCGCAACCCUCGUUCCAUGUUGCCAGCACUUCGGGUGGGGACUCAUGGGAGACUGCCGGGGUCAACUCGGAGGAAGGUGGGGACGACGUCAAAUCAUCAUGCCCCUUAUGUCUUGGGCUUCACGCAUGCUACAAUGGCCGGUACAAAGGGUUGCGAUACUGUGAGGUGGAGCCAAUCCCAGAAAGCCGGUCUCAGUUCGGAUUGGGGUCUGCAACUCGACCCCAUGAAGUSGGAGUCGCUAGUAAUCGCAGAUCAGCAACGCUGCGGUGAAUACGUUCCCGGGCCUUGUACACACCGGCCUUA